This 367-nucleotide unclassified non-coding RNA is filed under the name fungal sp. RNAcentral describes it as "partial internal transcribed spacer region". The stretch from base 1 to 46 matches the Rfam family "Eukaryotic small subunit ribosomal RNA", at positions 1786 to 1831 of the family's 1831-position model. Lineage: Eukaryota; Fungi. The record is from RNAcentral.
AAGUCGUAACAAGGUUUCCGUAGGUGAACCUGCGGAAGGAUCAUUAACACGUUAUCCAACGUAUCAAACUAACCGUGCACUAAUAGCUCCCUAGCGUAUAAGUUUAGUAGCCCAUGCGAUUCUGAUGGGCGAGCGGCCUCGGCUGCUCGCGGUCAAGUGGUGCUGAAGGUUUGACCUUAAGGCUAAGAAUUUACGUUAGGCUAUCCCCAAUUCUGACUCAUCAUCCCAUCAGGGGUGAGACGGAAUGACUUACUAUAUUCACAUUUUUACUACAUUUGGCUAAUAGGAUUCUCUUGGGGUGACCCUUGUAGAAGACUAAGUUUAUCUAAACUAAGUACAACUCUUAGCAAUGGAUAUCUUGGUUCUC